This 5106-nucleotide long non-coding RNA is filed under the name Homo sapiens (human). RNAcentral describes it as "HSALNT0188168". Lineage: Eukaryota; Metazoa; Chordata; Mammalia; Primates; Hominidae. The record is from RNAcentral.
GUCUUUUUCUUUCCCGGUGCAUAACUGGACAAAAUUGAAUGUCACCAUGGCCUUACUUGGAAGAUCAUAUGUGAGGAUGAUGGUCAUUUAACAGGUGGCAGCAAUGUGGGUAGAGGAAGACUCAACUCCUUCCUACAACACAGGGCAGAAAUUAAUACUUAUAAAGGUAAACUUGACUUAAAAAAGAAAAUAUUAUGGUGAAUCUACUCUGAUUAUGAAGAAUGGAGAAAUGUGGUAUAUGUUUCAGACCAGAUAGAUUUCUAUCAGAAGUAUUUUUAAAAAUAUUUACGUUAGGGUGCUUAAAUAUAUAACCUUCUAUGAUCUAGAACACUGACAAAUAUGUAUAACCCUUCUCCAGCAAUCCUGAAUAGUGUAUAUAGUACACAACUGCCCCAUUUUAGUAUUGCAUUGCAAAAGAACAAACACAACAUUUUUAAAUACUUUUAGUUCACAUUUUUUAAUGUUUAAAAACUAUGUUAACAGAGCAGUUAUAGAACAGAACUUCUUAUAUUUCUUUAUUUACACCACACUCUGAAAAAAAAAACCCAGUUCUAUUUGAUUAACUAUGAAUAGCAAAGUUUUGUGACUUGUGACUCACUUAAAUCACCCAUCUGAAAUUCAUUUACAAGGUUUUUACAUUAAUAAAACAGUAGUGUGGUACAUGUAUUGGACUCAGAUGAAGUCUAAAGUACACUGGACUCUAGAGAGUGGAUUACAUACCAACGACCAAGAUUCAAGUGUUUGGGGAAAAAAAUACCUUAGACAGUCUAUGUUGGCGUCAACACUAAAAUAAAAGGCAAACAUGCAGGACUUUCAAAGCUUGAUUAGAUAAUGGUUCUUUGUUUUCUUUCCUUCAAAUUUGUGCUCAUAAUUAAUAUUCAGGUUCCCUCUCCCCGCUUUCAUAGAUCCCAAAGUUUGAGAAAUGCAGCAAUUCAAUUGUGAAAAAAACAUUCUUCUCCCCAGCUUCUGUUUUCAUAUGUACUGUGUAGUGGUAUCAGUGUUAAAAAUGGAAGAUCAUUAUGAAGAAACAAUUUGUCAUUUGGGUAUAUCUGUUUCUAUAGGACAAGGAUUUGUGUCUAAAUAUUCCUUACUUGUAUCUCAGAGGACUAUCUGUUAAAUAAUUGAUCUUAAUGCCAGCAUAAGAAAUCAAGGGAACUAUUUCUCAGACAUUUCUUUCUCUAAAUUAAGUAGGGUUUCAGGUUCCAAGUUUACAUUGAGAGAACUAUGUUACCUGGGAGAGAAUGUAAAUUUUUCUAAUUCCCAAACAAAACCACUAAUUUCUAGGAAACAUUUAUUGUUUAUAUGCAGAUCCUAGAGACUUCUAUUUCAGUGCAGAUCAACAACUUCAAAAAUAUACAGCCUCCUAUUUAUUUACAAUAAUAUUUACAUACAAAUGAAGUAUUUCCUGCAAUAAGCCUCAGCUGCAUAGAUUCUUCCUUUAAAAACGUAAAUUUGAGCCUGUAUACAGAUGGGCCCAGUUUCAUAGCCCUUCCUUAGAUAAAAGCCUAAAGAAGGAAAAUGUCUGCACCUUGUGAACUUUACAUAUUUUGCAAGAACUUUCUCUUUGAGAUUUAGUGAUAGUUUUUAGUUGUUAGACACCCCACCUUCAGCUUGUACCUGAAAGCUUUAUCUCGUUAUAAAUAAUUCACUGUAAUUUAGGGGAAGUAUGUCCUGUUGCUAAAGGAUUCUCAAACCUGCCAUCCCCAAGGAAAAUCAUGUAUUAGUAUUGCUAAAUGAUGGUCUGUAUAUUCUUUGUUUUGAAGGUGGCUAGAUGUUUGCUGUAAACUUGAAUGGGAGAAUUAUAUUCUUAAAGUUUACACCCCCUAUAAGCCUAAAGCCAUUUAAAUUGAUAAACUGAGAGAGACUAAUAGAUUUUGCUCUAAGGUAUAAAAUCCAUUAUCUGAUCAUAUUCCUGACCUCCCCCCGACUCCAACUAAAUGUGCCAUAGUCCAACACUGUGCCUCACUGAAUUGGAACUCAGUAUUUCAUUCUUUUGAGAGCAGUUUGUAGCUCCUUAAGCAGAGCAGACCUUUCAGUAGAGAAUUCGCUUUAAAAGGAGGACAGGAUUAUCACCACACGAUUAACACAAACACUGGAGAACUUCUGACACAAAUUCAGUAUUUCUUCUAAGUCUGCAUUUACAAAGGGUCUUUUAUUUUAAUUUCUUUCACAACUGCCUCGCCCCAACCAAAGCCUCACUUUCAUUUCCUCACAGCUUUAAAAAAUAAAAUAUUAUCAUGCCUCAGCCCGAGGUAACACCGAGUGCAGGCAGCCUGUGUUUAGGAAUUUGCACCUGCGCUGCUAUUUUCAACGAGAAGGGGAUAACCAGGUGGCAGCGCUGGAUUCACUCACUUUCUUAAUCUGCAUUCUAAUGAGGUCCCCGAUGAUGCUGAUGCUACUGGUCUAGGGGCCACACUUUGAGAACCACUGGCUUAGAGGCAUGAAUCAAGCUCUAGAAAGCAGUCAGUUCCAGGGUAAUAGUCUUAGGUGCUCGCCGAAGCACUGAGGAAUCUUACCACAACCCUGUGUCCACCACAAGCCCUAUCACCAUCACCCAUCUGGGUGCUUCUUUUUCUCAACAGGGUCUGUAACUGUAAAAAAGGAAAGUGGGUGGAGAGGUUUUUUUUUCCCCCUUUUUUCUUGUUUUCUAACCUCCCAGCUUAUUCCUGGAGAGUUAAAACACAGUUACUAGCACUAAAAACAUUAAAAGUGCUGCGCGCUGGCCUCAAUGACUGGUACAUUGGAGAAGCUAUGCAGCAGCAUCCUUUUCUGUGGUGGGCAGGGCAGGAGAUGAACCAUAGGAGCCAAAAGUCAGACAAACAGAAGAAGGCACACCAAGCCUGAACCCUCCGGACAACAGCAGAGUUACCAGCUGAGGGAUGUCCCUGGAGGUUUCUGACCCAUGAGAGGCCCCCUCACCCUCCUUCACCCUCCUCCUACCACCAAGCUCUCCAGCAGUCAUGGACUUAUUCCUCCCCGUUUUUACUGGACACCAUGUUUCAGGCCAAUCUGGUCACCUGUAGUCUGGUGGCAUCUCUACCCCUACUGUCCAGUAGGUGGGAUGUGGCUGGGAUGGACAGUCCAGAUUCUACUAACAGGCAACUCUGAACAAACACCCUCCCUGGAAACAAUAUUAUAUUUGAUGGUUAGAUUCUUUAGCAAACCUAUUACAUUAUUCGAUGUCAGCUAACCUAUUGGUUUGAUCAUCUUUUCCAGCUGCUCUAGGGGCCUAACCACCAUGGAUAACCUGGUCUCUAAAGGAAAAUACAUUCCAGGUUGCAAACAACCAACUGACAACCUUUUGGAAUAUGAUCUCCUUAUACACUGGGGCUGCCUGUGCCUAAACACAGUAGAUUUCCCUCCUGUGCGUAUUUCAUCAGCCCCACUUCCAAUAAGUAACAUUAAGUAAAUUAGGGAUUGACAGUAUUCUGUGUUACAAUAACUAGAGAACAGUUCUAAGUCCAAAGUGUGGAACUGGCACUGUUCACUAGUAUAGAGAUCCUACCUACCAAAGGAAAACGUGCUGCUCCCCAUGCCUAGGGUAUAGUAUUCUUUAAUCUACUAAUUUAGCAGAAAAACUUCCAUAGCACUUGACUGUGCUGUUUAAAUUCGACCUAACAUCUGUGAUACAUGUAUUUUUGGCUACCAAUUAACUAUUCUGAAUAAGAAUAAGAGCAGUAUACUUUACAGCUAAUCUCACACAAAGGAUGUAACUAAUCAGUGAUAUUUGACGAAUUAUGGUAGGGUCUAUUAUAUUCAGUCAACAACAAAUUUAGAGAAACAUACAAAGGUUUUUAAAAAUAUGGGUGGUGUCACACAGAUCAACAACACUGUGCCUCCUCUAAAUAAAUCUAUUUUAAAUAAAUAUUCCUUGUAUUGACACAUGAAACCCAGAGGCCCAAAAAUAUCACUACACAUCCCAGUUAAUGAUAAGGUUCUAAAUUGACUUUGUGAGGGUAAAAUGAAUUGCUAUAAAGUAACAAGGAAAAUAGAAAGUAGCAUAAUAUAGCUUGCAAACUAAAUUAUGUAUUUUUAAAGGUACAGUCAUCCCACUACCUGGCUAUUUCAUUACUUGGUGCUCUAGACAAGCUCCCAAGAACUGACUGGAUCUUGGCUUGUUCUGUUUCUGUCAUUGCUAAUAUAAUAUGGAAAACAUUGCUGAAAAGAACAGAGAUGGCCAUGGAUAUGGCUAGGUUAGGUAUUCAUAUCCAAAUAUCUGAACUCUAACCUAAUGUGGAUAUGAUUCUGUAGCAUUAUAUUAAAAGCUAUGAUGAUGCAAUGCAGGAAAUAACCUUUCAUUCUCCCCCCUAGAGGAUCACGACAGGUGCUUCAAUGCCUGCCUUAUCUAUGGGACAGUAGUGUGAUUCUCAGUGAGAGUGAAGGCCUUUGGGGAUUUGAGUCAGGAAGGGAACAUGGCUAAGUGCCUGGAAACUCUGCCAACAGUCUGCGGUUAGAUUCUACUUGUCUCUGGAUAAGAAAUCUGUGCUCAGUGAACUUAUGUGUUUGGAAAAUUUAACCAGAAUAUAGAGGAAGCAUAAGUCCUGUUUCAAGAGACCAGCUCACGGAGCAUGCACAUUUCUCACCAUAGGCAAGCUAUGGACAAUUCAAUCACAUGGGAUGGCCCCACUUAGGGGAAUGCAGUUCUGGGUUUCCUUGCUAUCCCUAUUCUUUUUCAGCUACAAACUCUCUUCUUUUUCAGUCUCUUCAGUUUCCUUGUGCUCCCUUUAGGAGAGGGACAAGGGUAAGAGUACCAGGCAACUCUGUCCUCCUGCAUGGACAGUUGAGACGGGCAGUAAUGGCACAGUCCUUGGUUGGGGAAGAGAAGAGGAGACAGCACAGACACUGAGACCCCCUUGUCUUCCUCAUCUGGGGGAAGGAAGGUACUCAGUGAUUCUGUCAGAAGCUCUUCACAAAGACUAUCUCUGAGGGUUUUUUUUUUUUUUUUUUCACAAGACUAGAUGGAGAAUUAAUGAAGAAGAAAUAGAAAUGAGGCUUAUUUAAGGUACAAAAUUCUUGUAUUUGUAAUAACCUAGAUUUAUAGAUAUAAAACAAGUCUUUUAAAGACUUCCCUAAAAUACUCAAUAUAAAACAGGAGUUACUUAUCCU